Molecule: transfer-messenger RNA, 348 nt
Filed under: uncultured Cetobacterium sp.
Lineage: Bacteria; Fusobacteriati; Fusobacteriota; Fusobacteriia; Fusobacteriales; Fusobacteriaceae
Rfam family: transfer-messenger RNA
About the family: Bacterial tmRNA, also known as 10Sa RNA or SsrA, is named for its dual tRNA and mRNA-like properties. Its role is to liberate the mRNA from a stalled ribosome.
Source: RNAcentral
GGGGAUGCAAAGGUUUCGACAGGGUUGUGAGGUUAUAGGUAGCAGGCCAGGUUGACCGCUGUGAGAGGUCAACUCAUCGUUUAGAUGGAAACAAUAAUUACGCUUUAGCUGCAUAAUGUCAGCUCGCCUUUGAACUUUCUCUUCUGUAGGAGAGUUCAGUCUAGGUGUAACCUAAGUACAGAUUACCCUAAGUGAUUUCUCUAAGCUUUUGGGGACAUUUAAGAGAAUAGCUUUAGUUAGCCCUGUUUGUGGGAAUAUCUAUCGCGAAUUCUAAUAGCAAACUAAGCUUGUAGAAGCUUAUGGCACUUGCAAUUUUGGACACGGGUUCGAUUCCCGUCAUCUCCACCA